Non-coding RNA from Pantherophis guttatus, 355 nucleotides. The record is from RefSeq and is a predicted model, not a curated record. Lineage: Eukaryota; Metazoa; Chordata; Lepidosauria; Squamata; Colubridae.
GAAGAUCAAAGGCUUCUCCUGGUGGCCGGCCAUCGUGGUGUCCUGGAAGACGACCUCCAACCGCCAGGCGGCCCCUGGCAUGCGCUGGUUGAAAUGGUUUGGGGACGGAAAGUUUUCGGAGAUCUCCGCUGACAAACUGGUGGGUCUGGUACAUUUCCGGGAACAUUUCAACCCGCCACGUUUCAGAAGUUGGUGUCCUACCAACAAUCCAUUCUCCAUGUUUUGGAGGUUGCAAGUAGCCGAGCUGGGAAGACUUUCUCCACCGUGGCUGGGGAAUCUCUGGAUGAGAAACUGAAACCUAUGCUGGAUUGGGCCAACCACGGAUUCAAACCCGCUGGAGAGAAGGGGCUACGGC